RNAcentral lists this ribosomal RNA (424 nucleotides) under uncultured bacterium. RNAcentral's name for it is "partial 16S ribosomal RNA". It matches the Rfam family "Bacterial small subunit ribosomal RNA", at positions 354 to 796 of the family's 1533-position model. The record is from RNAcentral.
GUGGGGAAUAUUGGACAAUGGGCGAAAGCCUGAUCCAGCAAUGCCGCGUGAGUGAUGAAGGCCCUAGGGUUGUAAAGCUCUUUUACCAGGGAUGAUAAUGACAGUACCUGGAGAAUAAGCUCCGGCUAACUCCGUGCCAGCAGCCGCGGUAAUACGGAGGGAGCUAGCGUUGUUCGGAAUUACUGGGCGUAAAGCGCGCGGAGGCGGUUUUUUAAGUCAGAGGUGAAAGCCCGGGGCUCAACCCCGGAAUUGGCUUUGAAACUGGAAAACUUGAAUCUUGGAGAGGUCAGUGGAAUUCCGAGUGUAGAGGUGAAAUUCGUAGAUAUUCGGAAGAACACCAGUGGCGAAGGCGACUGACUGGACAAGUAUUGACGCUGAGGCGCGAAAGCGUGGGGAGCAAACAGGAUUAGAACCCCAGUAGUCC